RNAcentral lists this ribosomal RNA (437 nucleotides) under uncultured bacterium. Its description in RNAcentral is "bacterial SSU rRNA". It matches the Rfam family "Bacterial small subunit ribosomal RNA", at positions 355 to 786 of the family's 1533-position model. The record is from RNAcentral.
UGAGGAAUAUUGGUCAAUGGGCGGAAGCCUGAACCAGCCAAGUCGCGUGAGGGAAGACGGUCCUAUGGAUUGUAAACCUCUUUUGUCGGGGAGCAAAGCCAGUCUCGUGAGACUGGAAGGAGAGUACCCGAAGAAAAAUGCAUCGGCUAACUCCGUGCCAGCAGCCGCGGUAAUACGGAGGAUGCGAGCGUUAUCCGGAUUUAUUGGGUUUAAAGGGUGCGUAGGCGGAACCUUAAGUCAGCGGUAAAAGUGUCGGUGCUCAACGCCGGCCGGCCGUUGAAACUGAGGUUCUUGAGUGAGCGAGAAGUAUGCGGAAUGCGUGGUGUAGCGGUGAAAUGCAUAGAUAUCACGCAGAACUCCGAUUGCGAAGGCAGCAUACCGGCGCUCAAACUGACGCUGAGGCACGAAAGCGUGGGGAUCGAACAGGAUUAGAUACC